AGGGGCCUUGUCGGUUCUGCGGGGCGAGCGCCUUCGCGGAAAACUCCAAAGUACCCUCUGUGGAGCCUUGUUGAGUAUCUUCAAACCUUCAGAGGGACCUUUUAUCAGCGACCCAUGCCGCAGUUUACAGAAGAACGCUUUGUGCGUGCUUUGGGACGUAUGGAUCACUUUUAAACUUUUUCCUUUGAAGCUCAGACAGCUUGCGGGGGGCUUGGGAGGAGCGCUGCCCGGGGAGUUAGAAGGCUUGGGUCAAAGUCAUAGCCCUCAUACUUCUUGAGAGUGACCUUGGGUGAGUCGCUGGACCCUGAGCCCCAAAUCUCCGUCUGAAAAGUAACCCAUGCCUUGUAUGCGUCCUCGGGCUGUUGCAGGAGUCUUUGGAAAUGAUGGUUCUGACUCUGAGUUGGAAACUGGAACGCACACAACAGAUGGGAGGCGUUGAAGGAAACAGAAAGGUCGGCCUGAGGGGAGAGGCGUUUCAGGAGGCUUGCGGAUGUGUGAAGUGUGCGCACUGUGCUUGGGGCGAGCCCAAGCAGUAACCCCACCCGAGUGAAGCGUUCUUGGGGGGAUCGGCUCCGGGUGGGCGACGUUCCCCGCGUGCCCCCUUCCCCCGAGAGCACUUUGUAGACACUGACUCCAAAAGCGGGUCUGGUCUCUGCCCAGCCCCACUUUGGCUGGCGUGCUUAGGUGCCUCUCGGGAAGCUGGAGACCACCCUCCCCCAUUCCAGCAAACGCUCCAUUGAGGAACCUACUGCGUGCCAGGUCCUGGGGAGCUUAGCGUCUGAUGAAGGAUACAACAACAAAAGACUGGAAAUUCAGAAGCAUGAGGGGACCUCCCCCCUCGAGGGAGAACCAGAGAUGGCUUCACAGAGCAGACGUUUGAACUGGGCCUUGGAGGAUGGAUGAGUGGAAUUUGGCCCAGUGGAGAAAGUCAUAGCAGCAGGAGAUAAGAUUGUAAGGGUCAGGUGGUGGGGCUGGAUAAUGCGAAUCUUGACUGUCAGACACAGACACCUGCCAUCUAAUUAGUACGCGAGGGAUAAAUUUUGGACUCCGCAGGAUAAGGACAAGGCUACACAAUGGCUUAGAACAGUUAAUCGGGCAACAGUUGGAAAGGGCCUUUGCCUCAAAAUUAUGUUUGCCCUGUCUUGUGUGAAUGCCUAUUCAGAUGCAUUAUUUGAAAAAUAAAUAAACCAGGCAGGCAUC
Molecule: long non-coding RNA, 1200 nt
Filed under: Homo sapiens (human)
Lineage: Eukaryota; Metazoa; Chordata; Mammalia; Primates; Hominidae
Description: non-protein coding lnc-DCAF10-2:6
Source: RNAcentral